Molecule: long non-coding RNA, 211 nt
Filed under: Lathyrus oleraceus (garden pea)
Lineage: Eukaryota; Viridiplantae; Streptophyta; Magnoliopsida; Fabales; Fabaceae
Description: Pisum sativum (pea) long non-coding RNA (PSAT_LNC040667)
Source: RNAcentral
GGAGAUCCACUUCCCCAAUCACGGUCUUACGCGACCCAUCAAAAGCUUUUACAACAACCCCACUCUGCCUCAUAGGAGGACCUUGAUAUGACAAUCGUGAGAGUGUGGAUUUUGGCAAUACAUUUAGGGACGAUCCAGUGUCCACCAGUACAUUGGACAUUGCAUCAGAUUUGCAAUUCAUGGAUAUGUGUAAAGCCAUGUUGUGGUCUCU